This 426-nucleotide ribosomal RNA is filed under the name uncultured bacterium. Its description in RNAcentral is "bacterial SSU rRNA". It matches the Rfam family "Bacterial small subunit ribosomal RNA", at positions 355 to 776 of the family's 1533-position model. The record is from RNAcentral.
UCUAGAGGCUUCGUCAAUGGGGGCAACCCUGAACGAGCGACGCCGCGUGCGGGAUGAAGGGCUUCGGCUUGUAAACCGCUUUUAUUCGGGAAGAAGAUCCGAUUCGUGAAAUCGGGUUCGACGGUACCAGAUGAAUAAGCCCCGGCUAACUCCGUGCCAGCAGCCGCGGUAAGACGGAGGGGGCAAGCGUUGUUCGGAAUUAUUGGGCGUAAAGGGCGCGUAGGCGGAUCGGCGUGUCUGGCGUGAAAUCUCCACCACUCAACGGGGAGAGGCCGUCGGAAACUACCGAUCUGGAGUUCGGCAGAGGAUCAUGGAAUUCCGGGUGUAGCGGUGGAAUGCGUAGAUAUCCGGAAGAACACCGGUGGCGAAGGCGGUGAUCUGGGCCGAAACUGACGCUGAGGCGCGAAAGCUAGGGGAGCAAACGGG